UACGUAGGGGGCAAGCGUUGUCCGGAUUUAUUGGGCGUAAAGAGCGUGUAGGCGGCCAGGUAGGUCUGCUGUGAAAACUCGAGGCUUAACCUCGAGCUGUCGGCGGAAACCAUCUGGCUAGAGUCCGGAAGAGGAGAAUGGAAUUCCCGGUGUAGCGGUGAAAUGCGCAGAUAUCGGGAAGAACACCCGUGGCGAAGGCGGUUACCUGGAGCUUUGCUGACGCUGAUGCGCGAAAGCGUGGGGAGCGAUCCGG
Molecule: ribosomal RNA, 253 nt
Filed under: uncultured bacterium
Lineage: Bacteria
Description: partial 16S ribosomal RNA
Rfam family: Bacterial small subunit ribosomal RNA
Source: RNAcentral